AGAGUUUGAUCCUGGCUCAGGAUGAACGCUAGCGGCAGGCUUAACACAUGCAAGUCGAGGGGCAGCACGGGUAGCAAUACCUGGUGGCGACCGGCGGAAGGGUGCGUAACGCGUGAGCAACAUGCCCUAUACAGGGGAAUAAACCAGGGAAACUUGGUCUAAUGCCCCAUAGCAAUAAGAUAAGGCAUCUUAUUUUAUUUAAAGCUUCGGUGGUAUAGGAUUGGCUCGCGUGACAUUAGCUGGAUGGUGGGGUAACGGCCCACCAUGGCGAUGAUGUCUAGGGGUUCUGAGAGGAAGACCCCCCACACUGGGACUGAGACACGGCCCAGACUCCUACGGGAGGCAGCAGUGAGGAAUAUUGGACAAUGGAUGGAAAUCUGAUCCAGCCAUGCCGCGUGCAGGAAGACGGCCCUAUGGGUUGUAAACUGCUUUUCUACGGGAGCAGUAAGGUCUACGCGUAGACUGAUGAGAGUACCGUAGGAAUAAGCAUCGGCUAACUCCGUGCCAGCAGCCGCGGUAAUACGGAGGAUGCGAGCGUUAUCCGGAUUUAUUGGGUUUAAGGGGCGUAGGCGGCUUUUUAAGUCAGCGGUGAAAUUUUGCAGCUUAACUGUAACAGUGCCCGUUGAAUACUGGGGGAGCUAGGAUUUGGGUUGCUGUGGGUGGAAUGUGUGGUGUAGCGGUGAAAAUGCUUAGAGAUCACACAGAAAUAUCGAUUGCGAAGGCAGCUCACAAAGCCAAGAUUGACGCUGAGGCACGAAAGUGUGGGGAUCAAACAGGAUUAGAUACCCUGGUAGUCCCACACUGUAAACGAUGAUAACUCGCUGUCGGCGAUACACAGUCGGUGGCCAAGCGAAAGCGAUAAGUUAUCCACCUGGGGAGUACGACCGCAAGGUUGAAACUCAAAGGAAUUGACGGGGGCCCGCACAAGCGGAGGAACAUGUGGUUUAAUUCGAUGAUACGCGAGGAACCUUACCCGGGCUCGAACGGCAGACGACUUAUACAGAGACGUAUAUUCCCUUCGGGGCGUCUGUCGAGGUGCUGCAUGGUUGUCGUCAGCUCGUGUCGUGAGAUGUUGGCUUAAGUGCCAUAACGAGCGCAACCCUUGUCGUUAGUUGCCAUCAAGUUAAGUUGGGGACUCUAGCGAGACUGCCACCGCAAGGUGUGAGGAGGGAGGGGAUGACGUCAAAUCAGCACGGCCCUUACGUCCGGGGCGACACACGUGUUACAAUGGCGGUUACAAAGGGCAGCCACCCGGCUACGGGGCGCCAAUCUCUAAAAGCCGCCUCAGUUCGGACUGGAGUCUGCAACUCGACUCCACGAAGCUGGAUUCGCUAGUAAUCGCGCAUCAGCCACGGCGCGGUGAAUACGUUCCCGGGCCUUGUACACACCGCCCGUCAAGCCAUGAAAGCCGGGGGUGCCUGAAGUUCGUGACCGCGAGGAGCGACCUAGGGCAAACCUGGUAAUUGGGGCUAAGUCGUAACAAGGUAACC
RNAcentral lists this ribosomal RNA (1490 nucleotides) under uncultured bacterium. RNAcentral's name for it is "bacterial SSU rRNA". It matches the Rfam family "Bacterial small subunit ribosomal RNA". The record is from RNAcentral.